Molecule: ribosomal RNA, 119 nt
Filed under: Lottia gigantea (owl limpet)
Lineage: Eukaryota; Metazoa; Mollusca; Gastropoda; Lottiidae
Source: RNAcentral
GUCUACGGCCAUACCACGUUGAAAGCACCAGUUCUCGUCCGAUCACUGAAGUUAAGCAACGUCGGGCUCGGUUAGUACUUGGAUGGGUGACCGCCUGGGAACACCAAGUGCUGUAGACU